Molecule: RNA transcript, 3059 nt
Organism: Triticum aestivum (bread wheat)
Lineage: Eukaryota; Viridiplantae; Streptophyta; Magnoliopsida; Poales; Poaceae
Exons: 2
Source: RefSeq, a predicted model, not a curated record
AACAAACAUGGCAAAUGUCUGGCCAAAUGGGAGAAGCUAGGGAAGAUCUAUAUGAAAUGUUUCAUCUACCCAUGUCAAAUGUUGCCGUACAACAAAGCAUAUAUUUGAGGAACAUGAUCAGUAUUUGAAGCAACAAUUGGCACUUCUACUGGUCAUCUACAAGGUAUUCCACCAAAAGGAUUUAUCUAGAAUUGAUUGGCAACCAACCAGAUGCCCCUUAACCAUUCCAAUGGAUUUGGAAAUCUAGAUGCUUAGCUAAACAAAAAAAAUCUUCCGAUUACUGCUACUUGACAGGCUAAAUACCAGAGACUUGCUAGCGAGGAGACACUUCUAUAUUGAAUCAAGAAAAUGUAUCCUAUGUGAUGAUGAGCCAAAUGAACACCUGAAGAAUCUAUUCUUCUCAUGUGACUUCAGCCAAAAUUUCUGGAUGUCUAUUGGGAUUGAAUGGAACACUGACCUUAGCAUCAGUGAAAUGCUAGAGAAAGCAAAAAAUCAGAACAAACAUACAGUCAUUCAGAGAAUGCUUGAUUGCUGGAUGCUGGUCCAUUUCGAAGCACAGAAACAUCAUUACUUUUUACCACAAGACAAAGAGCUUAGAAUAUUGCAAUGCCUGUUUCAAGGAACACUUUGGCACAGUCAUGAGGAAAGCAAAACCAAGCCUGAAGGAAGGGAUGCAAACUUGGCUAGAUUAUUUGUAAAUCUAUCAUAGGCAUACACAUAGCCAUAUUCACAUUGUACAUCGACUUGUAACACUACACUUAUAUCAAUAAAAAGGUGUUAUAGUAGGGGUUUACCCUACUAUUUUUGCUCAAAACAAUAUAUAAGAAUUUUCCCAGUAGUGAAAGCAGAGAUGCAGGUAUGGUUGGUGAAGAAGAAAACGGUACAAGAGAAGUCGACAAUGCAACGUGCUUAAAUUUGACCUUCCCAUUUGAUAUUAAAAAUUUAAGUCUGCUUGGGAAUCACAGUGGUUGAUAAAUAGGUGGGAUGUGGGAAGAGAAACUUUAGUGCUUGUUGCAACGUGCUUGAGGUAUUUUUUGACAUCUACUGUAGCAGCGCGCGGGCAUUGUCCUAGUAUAACAUAACUAUAUAUAUAUAUGUGUGUGUGUGUGUGUGUGUGUGUGUGUGUGUGUGUGUGUGUUUUGAUUUUUAAAAUUGCAUAUGCGUCCCAGUUUUUGAUAUUUAAAUAAUACACUAUCGUCUAUUGCAAUGCACGGGCAAUUUCCAGUGAAGGACAAUUGGCCGGUGAUCUGAGUGUACAUGGUGCUUGUGAAUAUUGGGCCGCAGCGCCCUGUCCAGCCAUUCUUGAGCGAAAAUGGAGUGGAAGCUUGCUCCGAGAUACUAUCGUCAUUCUCCAAGAGAUGGUUUUGAAUUAAUUCAGGUUGCAUCAGUCACCAACAGAUAAGUCUCUGUCUAACUCUGCAUUGGUCUCAAGCCCUGCUUCAGGUUGAGACGGACUGUGCCGAGAUCAUCACCCUUGUAAAAGCUGGGCGGGGUGUUCGAUCCAGAAAUAUGCAUCAAGUUGCAGAGAUAGUGCAGCUGCUCAACAAACGCAACACUGAAAUCCGUAAGAUUAGUCGUGGGCAGAAUAAAGCUGGGCAUGCAAUGGCGGCAAUUGGUCGUGGAUAGCAGGACAUAGCUUCUUGGCUUGCACAUGCUCGCUCCCCAGAAGAUUAGCAUUAUCAUUACCAUUACCAAUGAUUGUAAAACUGUUAUUGCCUGAGUAAUGAAAUGCGCUCCCCCUACCCCCUGCGAGCGGGAAAAAAGCGCGCGACCGCCCCAAAUGAAACCUGCAUAGUUGAGUAAAAGAAAAUCAAAAUCACAAAUUCAGUCAAAUAUCAGGUGACUAUGCACUAGCCAGACUGUCGGUGCAAGGCACUGUGUCUUGUUUAUAAAUCAUAGGUGCCAAAUACAUAAUUUAAUACCAAGCUAUCAAGAUGACACAUUUUCUUAUACACUAUCUAUCUUGUUACGGAAUACAACUAAUUAAUUUCUCAUGUAAUUUUGGAGCGAAUAAAUGCCAUAAUGUUAUUAUGAAAAACUAAUUAAUUCCGUUUGUAAAUAAUAUUGGGAGCCAAUAAAAUGUCAUAAUGUUAUUAUGAAAAACUAAUUAUUUUUGUAUGGUUAUUUUUAGGAGGCAAUAAAUGCCCUAAUUAUGUAUAUGGAAUACUAAUAAACUCCUUACGGAUAUAUUUGUAGUCUGUCAAUCGAUACCUACAGGAUAUUCCAUGAUAUGCGUAUUAUCCGAGGAUCCUUAUUCAUUAUGGAGAAUUAUAAAUAGGAAACACGCCAAAGCAGGAAUGAAUAAAAUGGCAAACAAUGAUACUCCAAGAAUCGGCCAUGCUUCUAUAUAAACAGUGGAAGGAACCAGCAAAGUAGUACAAGUCUACAACCAAAAGGACAUAGGAGAAGAGAACAAUAAACAAUUUCGUUAUGGCUCUAAUCCGGAUCAACACUGGUGUUUUGUGCUUGAUGGCACUUUUGAUGGUUUCAACCACUUUAUUGUCGAGUGAAGCGUCAGGGAGAACGAUAGGUACAUUUCUAUUUACUAGAGCUUAUCAACUGUAGUAUAUUGGAAUUUGUGGUUUCCUGGAGCUACAUAAAAAUUUGAUUCUAUUGCAUCAUUCUAUGUUGCCAAUGAUAUGAAUGUUUCUCAUGAAGUUUGAUUGUUCAAGUUAAGAUAUGCAAGUACUAUUGCAAGAGAAAAGAAGAAUUAAUAUCAUGUAGAGAAGUGUUUCAACCAUGCCUAAUAGAGUGAGGUGUUUAGUUAAGACAGGCAAGUAUCUUUUUCCUCAUACACGCAAAACAUGGAUAUAAAAAUAUUUUUCCUCAUAGUGCAAACUUGUGCAGUCGCGCUCGUCCCCUUAUUCGAAAGUUAUUAUGCCUCAUAGUACUUUAAACCUAGUGUUAUUUAACAAUGGCAUGGAAGACAAGAGGUGUUUUCCUUGUGAUUUUAUGAUCACCAUUACAAUUCUGUCGUGGUACAUAUGGUUUCCAUAGUACAUAAUAAUUAUAUACCAGCCAAUAGCUAUUCUUCCCGUGUUUGUAUUAGCAUUCCACUA